AGCGGCGGACGGGUGAGUAGCGCGUGAGAAUUUACCUUUUAGUGAAGAAUACCCUCGAGAAAUCGAGAUUAAUACUGCAUAAGUCCCUUCGGGGAGAAAGAUGGCCUCUUGCUGUCGCUGAAAGAUAAGCUUGCGUACUAUUAGUUAGUUGGUGGGGUAAAGGCCUACCAAGACGAUGAUGGUUAGCCGGCCUGAGAGGGUGUACGGCCACACUGGAACUUAGACACGGUCCAGACUCCUACGGGAGGCAGCAGUGGGGAAUAUUGCGCAAUGGGCGAAAGCCUGACGCAGCGACGCCGCGUGAGGGAUGAAGGUCCUUGGAUUGUAAACCUCUGUUAAGUGAGAAGAAAAUACUAUUUUUAAUAGAAAUAGGAAAUGACGGUAUCAUUAGAGAAAGCACCGGCUAA
Molecule: ribosomal RNA, 407 nt
Filed under: uncultured bacterium
Lineage: Bacteria
Description: bacterial SSU rRNA
Rfam family: Bacterial small subunit ribosomal RNA
Source: RNAcentral